This 80-nucleotide transfer RNA is filed under the name Anguilla anguilla (European eel). Its description in RNAcentral is "tRNA-OTHER". Lineage: Eukaryota; Metazoa; Chordata; Actinopteri; Anguilliformes; Anguillidae. The record is from RNAcentral.
GGCAGUGUGGUAUAAUGGGUAAGUAAGUUGGUCUUGCGACCCAGAGGUUGCAGGUUCAAGUCCCCGCGAGGACACUGCCG